UGGGGAAUAUUGCACAAUGGGCGAAAGCCUGAUGCAGCAACGCCGCGUGAGUGAUGAAGGCCUUCGGGUUGUAAAGCUCUGUCUUCUGGGACGAUAAUGACGGUACCAGAGGAGGAAGCCACGGCUAACUACGUGCCAGCAGCCGCGGUCAUACGUAGGUGGCAAGCGUUGUCCGGAUUUACUGGGCGUAAAGGAUGCGUAGGCGGAUACUUAAGUCAGAUGUGAAAAUCCCGGGCUUAACUUGGGAACUGCAUUUGAAACUGGGUAGCUAGAGUGCGGGAGAGGAGAGUGGAAUUCCUAGUGUAGCGGUGAAAUGCGUAGAGAUUAGGAAGAACACCAGUGGCGAAGGCGACUUUCUGGACCGUAACUGACGCUGAGGCAUGAAAGCGUGGGGAGCAAACA
Molecule: ribosomal RNA, 402 nt
Filed under: uncultured bacterium
Lineage: Bacteria
Description: bacterial SSU rRNA
Rfam family: Bacterial small subunit ribosomal RNA
Source: RNAcentral